UGGGGAAUAUUGCACAAUGGGCGCAAGCCUGAUGCAGCCAUGCCGCGUGUGUGAAGAAGGCCUUCGGGUUGUAAAGCACUUUCAGCGAGGAGGAAGGGUUCAGUGUUAAUAGCACUGUGCAUUGACGUUACUCGCAGAAGAAGCACCGGCUAACUCCGUGUCAGCAGCCGCGGUAAUACGGAGGGUGCAAGCGUUAAUCGGAAUUACUGGGCGUAAAGCGCACGCAGGCGGUUUGUUAAGUCAGAUGUGAAAUCCCCGCGCUUAACGUGGGAAC
This 274-nucleotide ribosomal RNA is filed under the name uncultured bacterium. Its description in RNAcentral is "partial 16S ribosomal RNA". It matches the Rfam family "Bacterial small subunit ribosomal RNA", at positions 355 to 621 of the family's 1533-position model. The record is from RNAcentral.